CUUUGUUUCUCGUGCCUUCUUCCUAAUAUGACGCAAGGUCCUUUCAAUCUCGGGAUCACACUCGAUUGGUUCUCCAAGUCGUAAGGAUCUGGGCAUACAAGGGUGCCUGCACUAAAAAAAA
Asparagus officinalis (garden asparagus) is the source of this 121-nucleotide long non-coding RNA. RefSeq lists it as uncharacterized. The transcript is spliced from 2 exons. The record is from RefSeq and is a predicted model, not a curated record. NCBI's taxonomy places the organism in Eukaryota, Viridiplantae, Streptophyta, Magnoliopsida, Asparagales, Asparagaceae.